AAUAUGUAAUAUGGUUUUACUUCGUAGUGGAAAGAUGGUUGACUUUGUGUCAAGGAGUCUAAUCACUUACUCAUUGUGAGUAGUUCACAUGAUGAUCAUUUUAUGUUUAACCAUGGUAUAUGAGGAAAGGAAUCAGUUCACACUGGUGCUGAGGAUUGAAGUUUUAGCUCAGCAGGGUUAGGGCCCCUUUCCAGACUAAACUUAUUGAUCGUGUUAGCAGCGUUAUGUUUGACUAAAAGAAUAUUCUACUGCCAUUGUGCUUUACCGGCUUCUAAGAAAGAAAACAUAGUUGCUCUAGAAGUUAAAGCUUGAUCAAAUAUCUCAAUAACACCUCUUUCAUUGUCUCUCUCUUUCUUUUUUGUGUGUUAAACAUGAUUCUCUUUCUAAAGGUAAGAGAUAUUGCUGGCUUGCCUGUUAGGUCAAAUUGCAAAUUGAUUUGCUGUGGAAUAUGCCAUGUUUCUUCUUAUAUCUAGUCGUAGUUUUAAUUAGAGAACCGAAGGAACACUGCAAUAUUUAAUGCCUUACCACAUGUGUUUGCCAUAAAAGACUGCUUGUUGCAGCCUCUUCUAUACAUGUUCAACCCUUCUCUCUCUUUUCAAUUGGGAAGCUCAUUAGGCCUUGUGCUUCACAGCAGGGGCAAUAUUCUAUAUUCCUUAAACCUUUCUACUGUAAUCCCAAUUGGAUUUGAACUUACGAUCUCCAAGCUGGAAUUCCAAGCCUUAGCCAUUAUUAUGUCUCAUUUGGG
RNAcentral lists this unclassified non-coding RNA (745 nucleotides) under Hevea brasiliensis (rubber tree). The record is from RNAcentral. Lineage: Eukaryota; Viridiplantae; Streptophyta; Magnoliopsida; Malpighiales; Euphorbiaceae.